Chiloscyllium plagiosum (whitespotted bambooshark) is the source of this 719-nucleotide non-coding RNA. NCBI's taxonomy places the organism in Eukaryota, Metazoa, Chordata, Chondrichthyes, Orectolobiformes, Hemiscylliidae. The record is from RefSeq and is a predicted model, not a curated record.
GCCUCUCCACGCCCCGGGGGGAAGGUUCCGGGGACAGGAUGUCGGGGGGAGCAGCUCACUCCAGGUGCAGGAGAGGGAUUUAACAGGGAGGAGGACGCAGCUGAGGCUGAGGAAGGUUCAAAGAGGAGGCACAGAGCCUCCAGGAAUUGAUUCUUACUCCAUGCCAAGAGAAGAAACUGGCUAUUCAGUGAGGAUUUGAUAAGUCACGGAUGUCUCGGAUCGGGUCGACAGGAUUCUUAAGGGAGAGAGAAGAACAACAGUAGCGUAGCUGUGUUUCUGAAAGAUUGAAGGGAAAAAGCCACGCAGUUAAAGGCUCUGCCAAAACAGAAGUAAGCCGAGCGAGGAAAGUUGAACAAGUGGGCCACAAACAGAAGAAAGAAUUGCUGACUGGGUAGUCCAGUGUCAUCAGAACGGAAGAACAGUGACUCGACGUGGCAAAAAUGAAGCAAAAAAAGAUGAAUACAGUGAUUUCAAAGCCAGUGAUGGAUAGUACAGUAGGUUUAUGAAAAUAUAUGAUUUAGUGCUCAGACAGAAAACCAUGAUUGCCCAAAUUAAUGACAAGUUAAUCUGGUUUCAUCACUUUGUAAUCACAAGUUGGAAGAAAAACGGGUACAAGCUCUCGUGCAUCGGCAACACAGUCCAAACAAUGUACAGGGCAGGUGAAUUGGCCAUGCUAAAUUGCCCACAAUGUUAGGUUCAUUAGUCAGGAGUAAAUGUAA